AUUCAAAUGAAGUCCAGAAAUGAUGUUUUCAAUCAUCUCAAAUGCAAUGGUAAAAGUAGUAAUUUGUACAACUGGUUCAGUUGUUUCAGAAUUGUUCAGUUGAAAGGGACUGCCUGAUAUCUUUAAGGCUAACCAAACAAUUGUGUUCAUUACAUAACAAGCUCAGAUGGGGAUCCUCAGUCAUCCAGGAAUCUUAGAGAUGAUCAUGGACUGUCCUGAAGGCAAAAAUUUUGAAACAUCACCAGGAGAAGAGAUGGAUCAUGUCAUACUGUGGGGAAGCAUCACGGAUGGAAAGCUGUGUGGAGCCCCACAUGACAAGUUGCAGAGGCCACUGAAGGAAAAGGGGAAUCAAGCCAAUUUGCAGAGGUUAUUCAUGACUGUGAAACGUGCCAUAAUUAAACAAGCCAAGAGGAUGAAACCUCUCUGCGGAGAAGGAUGACGGCAAAACUAUAAAUAUGGAAGAGAAGAACUACACAUCCCAGAUGACUUCAUGUUCAGAGAGGAAAACAAGCCAUGGGAGAAUGUUAUGAUAUCUCACUCUCUGGCUCUUUCACUCGCUGCCUGGAAGUGUGUGGGUGUGCUCCCCAGCUGGUGCGCCUUCAUUUCAAUGUUAUAUUAGCAUCCAUGAAGUUCAACAUUCUUGUGAACAGAGCAAGGUUCUAAAAAAGGUAAAACAGAGACAAAAAAGUCAAAGACAGUUCAUAGCUCCUACAAGAUUGAAGUUGGAAUCAUGCAGAGAUGUAUACAUUAUUUUAGU
This 757-nucleotide long non-coding RNA is filed under the name Gallus gallus (chicken). RNAcentral's name for it is "lncRNA (ENSGALG00010005024.1)". The record is from RNAcentral. Lineage: Eukaryota; Metazoa; Chordata; Aves; Galliformes; Phasianidae.